GAUGAGAUGGAGCUGGGAAAAUCACACUGGACAUCCUGAGAAACAUGAAAGAAAACCAUCUGGCUGAUCAGCUAAAGAUUAUUCACUACAGGUAGACCAUGAGAAACAGCUGCAGAUCUUCACUGAAAUGAGCUCAGUCAAUGUUGUUCUUCUGCCACGACUGGACAGGAAUGCAGAAAGGAUACACAACCUGUUCCAA
This is a long non-coding RNA of Labeo rohita (rohu), 199 nucleotides long. RefSeq lists it as uncharacterized. NCBI's taxonomy places the organism in Eukaryota, Metazoa, Chordata, Actinopteri, Cypriniformes, Cyprinidae. The record is from RefSeq and is a predicted model, not a curated record. The transcript has 2 exons.